Cylas formicarius (sweet potato weevil) is the source of this 1674-nucleotide RNA transcript. It is a transcript of the gene named alpha-tocopherol transfer protein-like, with no coding region annotated. Lineage: Eukaryota; Metazoa; Arthropoda; Insecta; Coleoptera; Brentidae. The transcript has 5 exons. The record is from RefSeq and is a predicted model, not a curated record.
AACAAGGCCAAGAUUUUGCCCGAUGUUUUAAAUGAUUUAAGUUUGUCGGACGAUGUCAAUGGAACAUUGAAGUCUUUUUAGCAUCUAUGUCCAUAUAAAGAAACGUAAAUGUGUCAAAAAGCAGCUUCUUUUAUAAUUUGGUGUCGUAUGAAAACUCCCAACAAAUAACACAUGCAAUUUGUUUUUAUUUCUUGGGUUUUAUUAUAGUUUAAAACUGUAGAAAAUAACCUAAGUAGAUAUUAAACAAUCAAUAAGGAUAUUUUUAAUGUAAGUAAAUAAAAGUAAUUAACGAAAACAAGGGAUAUUUCUUUCUUGGCAUGAAAUUGACGUACACUGUGAUCUUGUCAUAUCUAAAGCGCGGUGUUGCCAAACUGUUGCAUGUAACCUUGUUUAUCAUAGAUUCGGUUCGCUUCUCGUGGUGUGGUUUAUUGUAUUUGUCCUUACUUAAUGGUUGAUUUACAAGGACACAAGAAAUACCAACACGUGAUAAACUGCGCCCAGCCGGCUCGGAGAAAAUCGCGGGUGUUCGAAAGCAACUCGAAGAAGAAUAGAAGAACGAAGCAACCUCCCAAGACCGUUUUCGAUAAAAUAGUGAAAGGGAAGUACGGAGUGGGUUUGGCGGAUUCGAAAAUGGAGUCUUCGAAGACGGUUUUGUCCGGUGGUGGUUCGAAGGCGCAACGUUGCAAAACGACCAUAGUGCCGAUUUUUCUGGAAAAAAUCAAACAAAAGCGGAUAUCCAACGACGAAACGACUGAAAAUAACGUAUCCGAUGACAGAACGAAGCUGAAAGAUUCCCAAACCAUCGGCCCACCAUUGACUACGCCCGAAUUAAAAAGCAGCCCGAAAAAUGCCCUGAAAACGACCGUGACACUGUACCCGAGGAAAAACGCUCGCUUGCCCCCGAAAAGCCGCUCCCAAUUGUUGAUGGCUGAGCAGUCCAAGGCGAAAAAAACCUCAAACGCGCCGCCAAAAGUCAAGGCCAACGUCGCACCGAGACGGGCGGCUCAACCGGCAACGCUGUACCCGGACUUCGGCGCGAAGAAAUUCGAUUUGGAAAGUAUGCUGCGCGAAGCCGAUCGAAAUCUGGAAAGGAAACAUACGAUAGAGGCGUUUUUAAUAAAGAAGAAAACCAAAGACACCACGAAGCAGGGCGGAUCGUCCUUGUUUCACAAAGUGAAAAUCGGAAGCCUGGCCAAGCUUCAAACGAAACCAGCCAAAAACGAACCCCAUAGGGUUUACUUACUAAAGGAAACUGUCAAACCGAGACCCAAAAACGGCCAAAGUGGAACGUACCAGAUUGUGUCCAACGCUCUCAAGAGUCGCGAUUCAAAAGCCAAGGCGAGGUUUAGCGGUUCGAAGGUGCCCAAAACGCCAAAGAAGAAGCAGAUAUCUGGCGUCGUUACGACGAAAUGCGAUAACGUAGAAGAUCCCCACAUAAAAUUCAUAGUGGAUAAUCACAGGAAAUCCCAAGCGAUUUCGUUCGUACAACAUUUGGGUAAAACUAAACCGACCAAUGUGGGCGCAUGUGUCAUUACGCCGUUAUUAUUUCGUAGACCGACGUAGAUUGUGAUCAUCGACUUUAUAACCCAGUCAUUUUCACAUCGCCGCAACCGUUCGCAUAGUUGGAUCGAUAUCUCCUGCGAUUGCCAAAAACGACACCAGAAGGAUACAGGG